UACAGGGGGGGCAAGCGUUGUUCGGAAUUACUGGGCGUAAGGGGCUCGUAGGCGGCCAACUAAGUCCGACGUGAAAUCCCAAGGCUUAACCUUGGAACUGCGUCGGAUACUGGAUGGCUUGAAUUCGGGAGAGGGAUGCAGAAUUCCAGGUGUAGCGGUGAAAUGCGUAGAUAUCUGGAGGAAUACCGGUGGCGAAGGCGGGUCUCUGGGCCGAUACUGACGCUGAGGAGCGAAAGCGUGGGGAGCAAACAGG
RNAcentral lists this ribosomal RNA (253 nucleotides) under uncultured bacterium. Its description in RNAcentral is "partial 16S ribosomal RNA". It matches the Rfam family "Bacterial small subunit ribosomal RNA", at positions 524 to 776 of the family's 1533-position model. The record is from RNAcentral.